This 253-nucleotide ribosomal RNA is filed under the name uncultured bacterium. RNAcentral describes it as "partial 16S ribosomal RNA". It matches the Rfam family "Bacterial small subunit ribosomal RNA", at positions 524 to 776 of the family's 1533-position model. The record is from RNAcentral.
UACGAAGGGUCCAAGCGUUAUCCGGAUUUAUUGGGUUUAAAGGGUGCGUAGGCGGCUUAUUAAGUCAGUGGUGAAAGCCUGCAGCUUAACUGCAGAACUGCCAUUGAUACUGAUGAGCUUAAAUAUACUUGAGGUGGGCGGAAUGUGUCAUGUAGCGGUGAAAUGCUUAGAUAUGACACAGAACACCGAUUGCGAAGGCAGCUCGCUAAAGUAUGAUUGACGCUGAGGCACGAAAGCGUGGGGAGCAAACAGG